AUUGAACGCUGGCGGCGUGCCUAACACAUGCAAGUCGAGCGGUAACAGGUGUAGCAAUACAUGCUGACGAGCGGCGAACGGGUGAGUAAUGCUUCGGAAUCUACCCAGUAGUGGGGAAUAACUAACCGAAAGGUUAGCUAAUACCGCAUACGUCCUACGGGAGAAAGCGGGGGUCGCAAGACCUCGCGCUAUUGGAUGAGCCGAAGUCGGAUUAGCUAGUUGGUGAGGUAACGGCUCACCAAGGCGACGAUCCGUAGCUGGUCUGAGAGG
Molecule: ribosomal RNA, 270 nt
Filed under: uncultured bacterium
Lineage: Bacteria
Description: partial 16S ribosomal RNA
Rfam family: Bacterial small subunit ribosomal RNA
Source: RNAcentral